UUUCUAGGACCGCCGUAAUGAUUAAUAGGGACAGUCGGGGGCAUCAGUAUUCAAUUGUCAGAGGUGAAAUUCUUGGAUUUAUUGAAGACUAACUACUGCGAAAGCAUUUGCCAAGGAUGUUUUCAUUAAUCAGGAACGAAAGUUAGGGGAUCGAAGACGAUCAGAUACCGUCGUAGUCUUAACCAUAAACUAUGCCGACUAGGGAUCGGACGGUGUUAUUUUUUGACCCGUUCGGCACCUUACGAGAAAUCAAAGUGCUUGGGCUCCAGGGGGAGUAUGGUCGCAAGGCUGAAACUUAAAGAAAUUGACGGAAGGGCACCACCAGGGGUGGAGCCUGCGGCUUAAUUUGACUCAACACGGGGAAACUCACCAGGUCCAGACACAAUGAGGAUUGACAGAUUGAGAGCUCUUUCUUGAUUUUGUGGGUGGUGGUGCAUGGCCGUUCUUAGUUGGUGGAGUGAUUUGUCUGCUUAAUUGCGAUAACGAACGAGACCUUAACCUGCUAAAUAGCCCGUAUUGCUUUGGCAGUACGCUGGCUU
Molecule: non-coding RNA, 539 nt
Rfam family: Eukaryotic small subunit ribosomal RNA